Macadamia integrifolia is the source of this 1616-nucleotide RNA transcript. It is a transcript of the gene named dnaJ homolog subfamily C member 17, with no coding region annotated. The record is from RefSeq and is a predicted model, not a curated record. The transcript is spliced from 5 exons. Lineage: Eukaryota; Viridiplantae; Streptophyta; Magnoliopsida; Proteales; Proteaceae.
UGUCGCAAUCGAAGAUUGCAUCCGCCAGAUUCCCUCGCGCAGACGAUUUCAAUCCAAUAGUGUCACAGUUCACAGCGGUGUGGUUUCGUCGUUCUAAAUUGGCAGACCCGCUUCCUCGUUGCCUAACUGCACUUCUCAUAGACUCUCUACCACUCUACCGGCACCGGCGCAGCUGCGGCAGUGGAGAACGACUGCCUUGCAAAAGAUAUGGAGGUUGAACUCGAUCAUUAUGAGAUUCUAGGGUUACCAUCAGGGGGAGAGGGUGCAAAACUCACUGAAAAAGAAAUCUCAAAAGCUUACAAAAUUAAAGCCCUUGAACUUCAUCCAGACAAACGUCCAAAUGAUCCUAAUGCUCACUCCGAAUUUCAAAAGCUCAAGACUUCCUAUGAGAUCCUUAAAGAUGAAAAAGCUCGGAAGUUGUUCGAUGAACUUCUGCAGAUAAAACGUGACCAACGUCUCCGCCAGUCACAAUAUGAUGCGAAACGUCGCAAGCUUAUGUCUGAUCUUGAGGAGCGAGAACGAGCUGCUUUUGCUCCAGACCCUGCUGCCAAAGCCCGGGAAGAAGAAGAGAGAAUAGCGAAGAAACUUAAAGAAGAAAUUGCUCGAGUUCGUGCUAUGCAUGCUAAGAACACAGCUCCAGCAACAACAUCUAAGGUUGGAACAGCUGGAAUGGGUGGGGAGAAUAUUGGGGGCACAGGAAGUUUGAACAAAGAGAAGGUCUUGAAGGUUUCCUGGGAGAGUGGAAGUGAUGGUUAUAGUGCUCAAAGGUUGAAGGAAUUGUUUGGAAAAUUUGGAGACGUUGAAGAUGUUGUAAUUCGAUUAAAGGGAACAAAGAAAAGAGGGUCUGCACUGGUUGUUAUGGCUUCUAAAGAUGCUGCACUUGCUGCUCUGGGAACUGUUUGUGGAGAUCUUUCAAAUCCUCUUUUGGUUCUUCCUCUUCAUCCAGUUGAGACUACUGAAUUUUCCACUGCCUCUCCUGCUAAGACUCAUAUGGAGCCAGAUGGUCCAAAGUUGAACAAUCUUGUUGGUGCUGGUUAUCAGGCAUAUGAGAAUUCCAUAUUAGAGAAGCUUCAAAAGAAGGCUGCAGAAAAGCGAAAGUGAUCUGCAAAAGCUUAAAAUGAGGAUUCUGAAUGGUGGUCAUGGUUGCUUAUCUCUGCCUUGUUCAAAUUUGAAAGAAGGGUGUGCUUUUGUUGUCUUGCUGAAUUGUAUUUAUUUACAAGCCUUUUGUUGAAGAUAAGCCAAUUGAUUCAGGGCCCUGGCUUGGAGAUGUAUCAAGGCAUAGCUGGGGAGCUUCUGGAUGAAAGUUAAAGCUUGAUCUGUAACUUCCUCCGGGUCAGAGUAUCAAGCAUUGUUGGAUAUUUGUCUCAAAUAUUUUUUUGCCGGGCUGAUCUCAUCCCCAUACAUACGGGCCAUGGAAGAGCUAUGGAUGGUGUGCUCAUCUCUUCUGGAUAGUGGCCAUAUUAGCCAGUCUGUGAGUUACCGAGAGUAGCCAUCAUUAUAUUAACUGAGUUAAAGCACUUAUAGAAGUGUGUGUGUGUGUGUAUAUAUAUAUAUAUAUAUAUAUAUUUAUAUAUCCAGCAACGAAGAAAAAUUAAUCUACCAAUUCUUGACAAUCA